Oxyura jamaicensis (ruddy duck) is the source of this 1927-nucleotide long non-coding RNA. RefSeq lists it as uncharacterized. The record is from RefSeq and is a predicted model, not a curated record. Lineage: Eukaryota; Metazoa; Chordata; Aves; Anseriformes; Anatidae. The transcript has 3 exons.
UCAUUUGCAGACCUGCCGCCCUUCCAAAUCCAAGUGACUGCAGGAGAGAGGGAGCUCUAGAAGGUCUUUGCCAAGCCUUGCUGUGACCUUAGGUGCUGCCUCAGUGGACACAGCUCCGGAAAGGGGUGAGCCAUGUGCAGUACCAUCUGGGCCCACGCUGGCGAGGUGACCCUCCCUCCGGCACUCCGGCUGUGGACACCUGUGCCUCUCUGUGCCUCCAGAGCCUCAGCCCCUGCUCCAGUCUCAGAUCUUACCCGAGCACUGCUCAGAACACUUCCUCCACCUCUCCUCUCUGUGGACAAUGGUGACAAGCAGCUGCCUGGCCACCCCUGCUGGUCUGCAUGGAACCUUGUGGCCAACAGCCCCAGACUCCUGCUGCCUUCCCCUCACAUCCAACCCAUGAUGGACAUGAUGUGCUCUGGACCAGACCACCAGCCUGGCUACUGGCAGAAUCCCCUGUUAAAAAUUCCCCUUGUGCUGUCUCAUCCCUCUGGCACAGUCAGGAGGUGAAUCUCUGUAGCAGGGCAGUGGAGACGUCUGUGGACCCUGUCUCACUCCUGCAGCCACACAGCACAUUGCAGGCAUCACCAUCUCGUCUCCUGCCACCAGAGGCUCUUCCAACUCUCCCUAGGAAAUAGGGAGGGGGAAGUUUGCUUUAAGGUGCCUUUGAUUUCACUGAGUUUGAGAUGACACAUUCAGCCAGCAGGAAUAAAUAAUAUUCUAAUAAUCAGUAUUAAGAAUUACUCUAAUUCUAUUGGGAUAAUCUGCUCAAUAUUUGAACACUCUUCCUACUUUCUUGGGAAACACAAAACAUAAAACCAAACCGGGUUGGGAGGGGUUGUUUGUUUUUGUGAGGCUUCUGGCACUUGUUUUUAUAGCUUGCUCAGCAGGGCUGCCAGACCUUUCCCUUUGCAUUCUGAUACUUCUUUGUGAUCUGGAUACAAACAGUAAUUGCCAAAGCAUUUGAUUUUUUUUUAAAAAAACUUGUUACUGAACUUUUUUUUUUUUUUUAAUUUUUAUUUUUAUUUUUAUUUAGAACUGUUAAUAGUGUUUGGGCUCAAAUUUGAAAGCUGGCUGGAAAAUCCCAUGCUGGAGUGAUAGCAUUCCUAUUUUUUGGCACCAGAUACUCGUUCCUCUUGCUUUCAACUAUUUCAGUCAGGAAAAUAAAAUGUUUUUGCUGAUUUUGAUAAUCAGCCUAUUCGUGCACACUUUUUUGUCAGUGAUAUUGCUGAGAGUAAUCUUGCUACUCUUUCAAAUAUCACGAGAGGAUGUCACAGUUAAUGCCCUUGCAUUAAAUGGGGAAGUCUGUCCACAAGCUGUGGAGGUAUUCCCAUAUUGGUUUGCACUUAUUUAUUUAUUUAUUUUAAUUUUUUCUUGCUGCAGUCCUGACGGUUAACUCUAGGAAAAUGAGCUAUGCUACAAUACAGGCUAAUUGCUAUGUUUAAACACUCAUUUUAGAGAAAUCAUCAAGAACCUUGUUAUGAUUUCUUGUUUUUAUCCUGGGCAGAGACAGGCUGAGGUAUGACCUGCAUUUUCAAUGAAUGGAUGAAGUGAAGUAAGUGGACAAGAAUCACUUGGUGUUGGGUCUUAAAAUGGACUUCAACUAAUGGAAAGCGAUUUGGAAGGUACUGCAUUUUUCAGAAGCAGCGUGCGCCUAGAUUGAAGGAGCAAGAUUUCCAAGCCGUGUCAGAUGCUGUUUGGGAACAGAAUUUUGCCUGUCUCUGCUCUGCCUCCCAUAUGUCGGCUGCUCAUGUUGUAGCAACACUAAUGAACACUAAUGGACCUUAAUGAUAAGGAAGUUCUGCUCAAACCAAAGGUAUACAAGGGGCAGCACCACUUCUCUCCACAGCGGGACAACGAUCAGAAUUGAUGUGCAAAUAGCCACUGGCAGAUGCUUGUUAAAGAUCAAAGACUUUUCCUUUAUUUA